CUGGGCUCAAUAGUCCCAUAAAGGGACCUGUGCAAGGAAGCGACUGCUAAAACUUGCUUUUCCUCAGCAAGGUCUCAGCUUUUCUGUGGGUCGUCCAGGUGAGACCCCAACCUGGAGCCAAUAGACCUUCCCAUGGAAAGGUCUUCAUCAUCGCCCUGCUCUGGACCUGCAUUCCUACUUCCAGGCCUUUGCUCCUGACCUGCCUUGCCAGGAGCACCAUUUCCUUCCUGUUUCAAUCUCAUCUCACAAAGCCUCCUCUCUGAGUCUUCCACUGAGCCCUCUGAUUUUCUGGUUUGGACUUACAGCAACUCCUACUGGUGAUUCUAAUGUGGAGCUGAUGCCAAGGACAGAGGUGCCCCUAGAGGUCAUGUGUGUCCACCGCUGGGAAUGGUGAGUAGGUCAUUCUGGCUUCCAGGUUCAACAGCAGCUGUCCUUUAGCUCUAUCCAGACCUGUCCUGUGGCAAGCUUCUGGCUCAUUCUGCUUAUCCAGCCUCUUGGCAAUUGAUUCUGUGAGUUUGGCCAAAAAGGAUUUGGGCUCUCCUGGCAUGCAGCCAGGCUGUACCUCCCAGCCUUGCAGUUGCACCGGCUGUGUGGGCAAGUUUGGGUCAAUGGGCAAUGAGCAGGAGUAAUGUGACCCCUUCCUGGGCUUACCCAAUGUGUUAGUUCCUGGGGCUGCCAUAACAAAUCACAGACAGGGUGGCUUAAAACAACAGAAAUGUAUGCUUUCACAGUUCUAGAGGCCACAAGUCUGGAAAUCAAGAUGUUGACAGGGUCAUGAUCCCUCUGAAGGCUCUGAGAAGGACCCUUCCUUACCCCUUCCAGCUGCUGGUGGCUCAUUCCUUGGCUUGUGGCAGCAUCACUCUCAUCUCUGCCUCCAUCUCCACAUGACCUCCCCCAGUUUCUCCUCUUCUGUCUGUAUUUUUCUCCUUCUUACCAGGACAUUCAUCACUGGAUUUAAGGCCCACCCAGUUACUCCACAAUAAUCUCAUCUUGAGAUCCUUUAAUUAUAUCUGCAAAGACUCUCUUUCCAAACAAGGUCACAUUCACUGGUACUGGGGUUAGGACUUGAGCAUAUAUUUUCAGUGGGGGUCGGGGGAAGCCAUGAUUCAAACCCAAGACAUCCCCAGAUGACUUGACUUAGAGGUGGAUGUUCCAUCAUCAUCUUUUUAAGCACUUUUCUCCAAUUCUCUUACUUCUCAUCACUAUACUCACUGCUCGUGGGAAGGAGAAUGUUAAGUACGCUACUAGGAUUGGACUAAAUUAAUAUUCACACAGGGAUGCAGUGAGGAUGAAGAUGUAGUUUAUUUCCUAAUAUCAGAGCUGGAUGCCUGGCUUAUGAGCAACUCACAUUCUCAUUGGAGGUGAGUGAGUCUUGCACUGAUUGACCUCUGUCAGGCUGGCAUGAUCUUAGGCAUUGUUUCCUUUGGCUGUCAAAACAACCAGCAAGAUGGUUGCUGCUAUCACCAUUUGUACAUGAGAAAAUCGAAGAUGAGUUUGCCCAGCAGAUCCUAAGAUGAUCUGAAUGUGAGUUUACUUGGGU
Molecule: long non-coding RNA, 1540 nt
Filed under: Macaca mulatta (Rhesus monkey)
Lineage: Eukaryota; Metazoa; Chordata; Mammalia; Primates; Cercopithecidae
Description: lncRNA (ENSMMUG00000051541.1)
Source: RNAcentral